RNAcentral lists this long non-coding RNA (1338 nucleotides) under Mus spicilegus (steppe mouse). RNAcentral describes it as "lncRNA (ENSMSIG00000009920.1)". The record is from RNAcentral. Lineage: Eukaryota; Metazoa; Chordata; Mammalia; Rodentia; Muridae.
AAGAUCCUUACAGAAUGACAGAGAGUCAGCAUCGGAGAGAACAUGACAGUGGAAGCAGGGGAAUUGCUAGCCUUGGAGAUGCAAAGAUAAGUGGUCUUGAGAUGCUGGGAAAUAAUAAGGAACAGGGCCUCCCCAAUAACCUCCAGGGAUGACACAUCCAUGCCCAAAAACUGCUUUCAGCCCAUUGAGACCCGUGCUAAACUCCACACCUCCAGAACUGUAGUGGGGCAAACCUGUGUGGUUUUAGGUGGUGGUUUGUUACAACAGCUACUAAUAUCAAUCUGGGGGAAGACUUAGGGUGUUACUCCAUAGUUCUGGCAGCCUAGGACUCCUGAGCCCACGGGUAAAAGACCUGUAGGGAUUUGAGCUUUACAAAAAAAAAAAAAAAAAAAAUCGCCUGAUGUGAAAUCACUAAGUUUUAUAUCAGGGGAAAAGGAAUUAGUUGCUUUCCAGUAUCAUGACAAGAAACCCAAGAAAACAACUUUAAGAGGCAGAGUUUAUUUUGUCUCAUGGUUUCCUGUUCAGCACAUAGUCAGGUGGACACAUAGUCAGUCAGCUGGACACACAGUUAGCUGGACACAUAGUCAGCUGCUUCCAUUGUUAUGAGUCCAUGCUUUGACAAAGCAUCCUGGCAGGAAGGGCAUCAGGAGGUACAGUGAAAUAGAGAGAGCUGUUACUCAUGAUACCGAGGAAACAGAGAAGAGAAAGAGAACAGGGGGAAAUGAAUACUUCAAAAGCACAUGGCUCCAAAGACAUAAUUCCUCUGGCAAGGCCCCAUAUUCUAAUAAUCAGUAUGAACUCACCAGUGGAUUUACCCAUCAACGUAGUUAGUACCUUCAUGAUGUAAUGUCUUCUCAAUAGCUAUAUCAUCUGGGGCCCAAACCUUCACAACAAGCUCUUUGGGAGGACAUCUCAUAUCCAAAGCACAGAAGACACUGCGGAACUAACCCACUAGGAAGAUGAAUCAGUAUGGAGACUAGACUGGAGGAAUUUGUUCUGACAAAUGUACUUCUAUCCAAGCCUAGAUGGGUCAGUCUCUGGGUGGAGCCUCCUGAUGUAAUCAAGUGGUGCAGAAAUGGUGUCAUAGCGACCUGUGUGACCACGUGGGAAGCAUUUGACUUCAGGGCAAGCUUGUUCACAUCUGAUACACAAUGACAAGAACAGACCUUUCCAGAAGCCAGACUCUUAGAGAGCUAAAUCCAACAAGUUGGAUGUUGGCAGAACCAUGGAGAGUCUCGAGGGACAGCCUGCUUCUAUACUUAUCUCCAGGCUCCUGAGCUGUGUUCCUUGACCCCCUGCCUCACCUCCACCUUCCAAGCCAGCACUGUAGCAUCUUCC